This 102-nucleotide non-coding RNA is filed under the name Virgibacillus necropolis. Its description in RNAcentral is "Guanine sequence". It matches the Rfam family "Purine riboswitch aptamer". Rfam says of the family: Riboswitches are metabolite binding domains within certain messenger RNAs that serve as precision sensors for their corresponding targets. Allosteric rearrangement of mRNA structure is mediated by ligand binding, and this results in modulation of gene expression. The record is from Rfam by way of RNAcentral. Lineage: Bacteria; Bacillati; Bacillota; Bacilli; Caryophanales; Bacillaceae.
UUUAAUCAAUUAAAUAGUAUGCGUAUAAUUUAGGGGAUAUGGCCUAAGAGUUUCUACCAAACUACCGUAAACAGUUUGACUACGCAGUUAAAAGCAAAUCUG